UUUAAUUAACAGAUACCCUUCUACAGUGUUGAAAAACAGUCUCUCUUUGGUCAUACACCUGAGUACAAUUUUAUUAAAGCUUUUGGGUGUAUGUAUUUUAGUUCUACUCUUAUUAGAAAUAGGGAUAAGCUAGAUCCUAGAGCUAUUCCUGGGGUGUUUUGGGGAUAUCCUUUUGGGAAAAAAAGGUGUAAAAUACUCAAUUUGCAGAUUAAUCAGGUGUUUGUCUCUGAAAAUGUCAGGUUUAUAGAAAACAAUUUUCCUUUCUCUUAUUCUAUUCCUAUGACCAAACUUUUUCCAGCAUGUCUCCCACAAUCUACGGAAGCUAUUUUUCCUUCUAGAAUCAUUACACAAUGUCCUAACUCUACUUCUACAUUAACACCCAAUCAAACACGUUCUCCUUGUUCUUCCCCUGUGUCUAACCGUUCUACGGGUACAUCAGCUGUAUCACCCUUCCCCUCUACUGAAGUGUUAUCCUCUGCACCAGGGCAACUGCUGCGCAGAUCUCAACGGGACCACAAUCCACCUAAGUAUUUUUCUGAUUAUAUUUGUGAUACUGCUUUUUCUGUUAUUUCUCCUAACCCUCUUGUUUGUUUUCUUCAUCAUUCCUCUUUUUCUGGCUUGACUCAACACAACCAAGCACUCAAUUCUUUCAUUUGUCAAAUCACUGAGCCUACCUCCUAUCUAUAAGCAUCACCACACCCUGGUUGGCAGGAUGCAAUGACCUAAGAAUUUGACGCAUUAGCAUCUAACAAGACAUGGGAUAUUGUGGAACUCCCAGCAGGAAAGAAGCCAUUCCCUUGUAAAUGGGUCUAUAAAGUGAAAUUGAAGUCCGAUGGUUCCUUGGAAAGUUUAAAUGCACGCUUGGUCAUUCGAGGGGAUAGAGAAGGGAUUGACUACACAGAGACAUUUUCCCCAGUUAUAAAAAUGACUACAAUUCGGUGCAUCCUAGCUAUUCAGGUAAAGAAAGGUUGGGAAUUAUACCAGCUUGAUAUGAAUAACGCAUUCCUUCAUGAUGACUUGAAUGAAGAGGUAAACAUGUGCUUCCCUCUCGGUAUGUCUGCACCUUCAUCUUCUCAUGUUUGCAGGCUCCGCAAAUCAUUGUAUGGCCUUAAAUAGGCCCCGAGACAGUGGUACGCCAGGCUAUCAUCUGCUUUGGCCACCAUGGGUUUUAUUUAUUCCCUCAAUGACUAUUCUCUUUUCUUCAAAAUAAAUGGCAAUCUGGUAACUAUUCUUGCAAUUUAUGUUGACGACAUACCGAUGACUGGAAACAACACGAACGAAAUUAGUGAGUUGAAACAAUUCCUUGACCCUGAAUUUAAAAUAAAGGAUUUGGGAAUUACUUUCUUGGUAUGGAAUUGGUGCGUGAAAAUGGUGUAUUGGUUGUUACACAAAGAAAAUUUGCUAUGGAGAUGCUUUCUGAAUUCAAUUGUACAGGUUUACGACCUGUUUCCACUCUAUUGGAUCCCAAUUUCAAACUUUCCUCUUUUCGUGGAACACCUCAUCUAGACCCUCUCAUGUAUAGAAGACUUUUAGGAAAGUUGAAUUUUUUAAAAAACACUCAACCGGACCUAUGCUUCGCAGUCCAAACUCUUAGUUAAUAUAUGCAAUCACCCUGUACAGGUCACUUCCGGGAAGCUAUGCACACCCUAUGCUAUUUGAAUGGAGAUCUGGUCUUGGAUUGUUCUUAUCCUCUACGCCGUCUUUUCAGAUAUUGGCCUAUUGCAAUUCCGAUUGGGCUUCAUGUUCUGAGACACAGCGGUCAGUGAGUGGUUUCUUCUUGAGUCUUGGUGGAAGUCCAAUUUCUCGAAAGUCGAAAAAGCAGCCGAUUGUUGCUUUAUCCUCGACAGAAGUAGAAUAUAGAUCAAUGCGACGUCCUGUUGCAGAAAUAACUUGGGUGGUUCGUCUCCUUCAAGUUCUGACUGUCACUCCGAUUUUGCCUGUUCCUCUCCACUAUGAUAGUCAAGCAGUGAUCCAUAUUGCUAAAAAACCUAUCUUUCACAAACGAACGAAACAUAAAGAGCCCGAUUUCCAUUUCGUUCUUGAGAAACUGCUUGAUAGUUUGAUUCCGCUUUUGUUUGUUCCAUCUUCUUCCCAAUUGGCAAAUCUCUUUACAAAAGCCCUCGUCGGACCUCUUCAUCAUUCUUUGUUAUCCAAGUUGGGAGUCCGAAAAUUGGCCUCCAACUUGAGGGACAGUGUUGACGGAGAAAAUAUUGCCGAAAAUGGUUCACAAAUCGUCGAGCAGGCUGUGACCUAGAAAGAAGCUUUUGUUUUAAUUGAGAAUGUUUUCAUCUUUGUCUGAAGAUUGAAAGAUAAGGACCUACUGAGAGUAUUGAGGAUAUUGGAUUGGGAAAACAACUAUUGAGCCUGUUUUUUGAUUGUUUGCACUCACAGAACCUUAGACCUAAUUUGGCUCUGACUAGAGCCCAG
Molecule: long non-coding RNA, 2427 nt
Filed under: Nicotiana tabacum (common tobacco)
Lineage: Eukaryota; Viridiplantae; Streptophyta; Magnoliopsida; Solanales; Solanaceae
Description: long non-coding RNA (NTAB_LNC016542)
Source: RNAcentral